AUCCUUUUGUAGUUCAUAAGCAUGAUGAUUGAGUGUUCAUACACAUGUGUGAGGUAUGUCACCCCCCAAACCUUUUAUGACAUUGGCACAUUACCUGUCUGACA
Rhinopithecus roxellana (golden snub-nosed monkey) is the source of this 104-nucleotide small nucleolar RNA. RefSeq annotates it as small nucleolar RNA U13. NCBI's taxonomy places the organism in Eukaryota, Metazoa, Chordata, Mammalia, Primates, Cercopithecidae. The record is from RefSeq and is a predicted model, not a curated record. The transcript has a single exon.